This 73-nucleotide transfer RNA is filed under the name Salmo salar (Atlantic salmon). It matches the Rfam family "tRNA". Rfam says of the family: Transfer RNA (tRNA) molecules are approximately 80 nucleotides in length. The record is from Rfam by way of RNAcentral. Lineage: Eukaryota; Metazoa; Chordata; Actinopteri; Salmoniformes; Salmonidae.
GCCCGUGUGGCUCAGUUGGUAGAGCAUGGUGCUUGCGAUGCCAGGUAUGUGGAUUCGAUUCCCACGGGGGGCC